Molecule: long non-coding RNA, 942 nt
Organism: Brachypodium distachyon (stiff brome)
Lineage: Eukaryota; Viridiplantae; Streptophyta; Magnoliopsida; Poales; Poaceae
Exons: 3
Source: RefSeq, a predicted model, not a curated record
CUUUCGUCUUGUUUUUCUUUUCUUUUUUCACUUUCUUCCUUUGGCAAGGGGCGUCUCUGGCUCUCUGCCUAUCUGCCGCUGCUCGCGGCUGCUACCCCGUUCUCGACGCCCGUCUUGCCGUGGCCUGCUGCUUGCUCCGCCGUUUCCCCGGUGAUUUAGCCGGUGUUGGGCGCGCGUCCGGCGUGUUCUUCGGCGGAUCCCUUCGUUCGGUCCUACGCUGCCGUCAAGUCUUCAUCUGCUCCAAUCGCUGGUUCUGGUUGUUUCCAACUUUCCAUCCGCGUUCGUUUUUGCUCGGGGUGGUUACAGGAUCUAUGAAAGAAUUACUUACUUUUGCUAUGCGGAGCGGGAGGAGGUGUUUGACGGAAUUCUGCUAUGAGGAGUAGGGCAGGAAGCUGCCGCCGUGGACGUCGCCGAGGGGGCCUCGCGCCCAAGAGCCAAAUGUGGUGUUCCGACGAGGUGGAGCCCCCGCACCCCGCCGUGAGAGCGGGCGGCUCUAGGAGCCAAGUCACGCCGCCCCUAACCGCUGGCUUCUGCUGUUCCCCCUUCCUACCGCGUGACCCCGCCAGCUAGCAUCGGCGGGUGCUCUCCCGCGUGAUGUCGCCGGUGGGUGUUUCAGGCCGCUGAGGGCGCCGCUGGCUGUGGUGGAUUCACCAUAUGUGAGGGCGAAGCAGGCGCAGUUAACGCAGUUCACUUCCAUCUAUAAUUACACGAUAGAAGGGCAGGCUGAUGAAAUAGCUGCUGAUGAUACUUGCAGUUUGAUUUUUCGCACCACAACGCACCUGUAGUCUAGGAAUUAAGUUGAGGAUGAAAUAGACUGAAAGGGUGAUAAGUGACUCUAGCAGCAGGUCCCAGGUAAAUAGUUGAAGACAAAUAUUGGUACCUUAAACAAUAAGUUACACAAGAAAUAUAAUACCAGAAAGUUAUGUUCAAAUUUCUGUUUAA